GGGGCCGUAGCUCAGUUGGUAGAGCGCCUCGUUCGCAAUGAGGAGGUCAGCGGUUCGACUCCGCUCGGCUCCACCA
RNAcentral lists this transfer RNA (76 nucleotides) under Phenylobacterium sp. Root700. RNAcentral's name for it is "tRNA-Ala". It matches the Rfam family "tRNA". From Rfam's summary of the family: Transfer RNA (tRNA) molecules are approximately 80 nucleotides in length. Lineage: Bacteria; Pseudomonadati; Pseudomonadota; Alphaproteobacteria; Caulobacterales; Caulobacteraceae. The record is from RNAcentral. RNAcentral also lists the same sequence under 3 other names.